RNAcentral lists this small RNA (4295 nucleotides) under Histoplasma capsulatum. RNAcentral describes it as "hypothetical RNA". Lineage: Eukaryota; Fungi; Ascomycota; Eurotiomycetes; Onygenales; Ajellomycetaceae. The record is from RNAcentral.
AGUGGUUUAGCGGCGUGUAACUCGAGGUAAUUAAUUGGUCUUCGACUGCUUGCUCCAACAGACACCAGACCCCCAAACAACGUCGCCUCAGCAGCUUGCCCUGGUUAGCUCCGUCGUUGCGCGGGCUCUCCAUGUAGUUACCGACUGCCGCUGCCUAGACCGCAAUGACGUAAGUAACUAACUACAGAUUACCAGUCAGCUGCGUGCUGAUUUGUCUGGUUACAUGUAUGGACAGUACAGGGCGCAGACCCCUGCUGGUAGUACGCGUAAGAACAGCUACGCGUACAGCCAGUCCACACAGAACAUGCAGUUCUUGUUUGGGGGUUUCAUCUCCACGAGUAGAUAUCUAUAUAUAUGUAUUGAUCCAUCUCGAGAGUACGGAGAGCAUGCAUGAAUGUAAUCACCCCCACCCAUCCCAUUGCCCCAUCACCUCAUGCUUUUGAGAACUCACUCUUUUCUGCCAUCAAUUCUACCAGUAUCAAGGGCAGAUCACAACCUCAAGCAUAAACAAGACAAAAUACGGAUGAUAAUAUAAAUAAAUAACUUCCCCCUUUUUCUUUUCACAUCUCACCAUUUAACCCCAUGAACUAACCUGACGGGAGAGAGAGGAAGAAGGGUAGGAACGGGCAACGUUGUAUAUUCGAUCGGAAUCUUCGUAUGGCAGGGCAAAACAAUACAUGAUGGAAUGUGUUUGAACAACAAUCAACACAUAAAAAUCUGAACAAAAUGUCGUGAAUUUGAGAAGGGAUCUUCUUGGAGAGGUGAGGUGCGGGGGCAUCGCAUACAUUCAGUUGAGAGGGAUUACAAACUAGGGAAGGGAUAAAAAUAAUUAAGGAAAACCAGAAAAACAAUUACAAUUAUGAAUGCAAAAGGGGAAAGAAAAAGAAGCUAAAACAAAAGGGGAGGGGGAGAGGGGGGUUGGGGUGAGGAGCGUCGUAAUGAAUUGCAAGAGGAUCAGAAAGCCGGGAGUAGAGAAAUCAGAUGGAAUGGAGAGAAUAAACAUUUCAACUAAGAUGAUAAAGUUGAGAAGAAAAAAUAAAAUAGAAUAAAAAAGCCUGUUCUGUCCGCUCUUCAUCCUUUUGCCUUCGAAGCUUGCCGAAAUCUAAAAUCCAAACACUAAAACUACCAUUUAGAAACCACCCAUAAUAUACUCAUCAACAUCCCUAUGCAAAUCCAUUGGAUCAAUCUGAUCAGGCCACCCUCUUGCUGCAUCAGAAUCCGUGAACCGUCCGCCAUCGCCAUUGGCGAAACUAUCAAGUGCCGGGAAAUUGUGAACAUUCCGCUGCGACCCCAGGCUGUGGUCGAAAUUUGCAUGCUUGCUAAUACCGUCAAUCGACGUAGUGGAUGGACUUUCAAAGAGUGUAAAAUCACCAUUCGGCUUACCCAUGCCAAUAUGGCUGUUGUGAUUAUGAUAAUUGUCAUAACCAUCGUGAAACCCUUCAUCCAUAUCGAUAUCCAAAUCCAAAUCCAAAUCUCUUUCCCGCUCCUGGGAGUUGGGCGAAUAGAGCAUCAAAUUACCCUGGCCGGCAGGAGAGAGGUUAUGGUUGAUGUUGGACUUCUGUUGCGGCUCCGGGCAUGUUGGAGAUGGAUUCCGCGAAAAGGAGCGCAAUCCGUGCACCUCGACGGAUUGCGCGGGCGUGAGUAACUGCAUGUUCAUGACUGUGUACUCAUUGUCAAGGUUAUCGAAGUCGACGUUGAAAUUUGGGGUUGGAUGUGUUGGUUCGAAGGGCGAUUCGUCCGUCAGGCUACCAGGUCCCAUAGGCCCGGUUCCAUCGGGCGUGGUCGCGCUGGAGGGCACGGAGGGAAUGUGCAUGUCCAGGCUUGGGACAUAUUCAUUUGGAUCACCAGCUUCCAAACUGGCCUGGAAGGCACUGAAGUCCAAUUGUGGUGCAAAGGGGUUGUGAUAUCGAAGUCAUCAAAAAGGUUGUGGUUGUGGUUGAAUCCGGAACAGUUGGAAGUCAUGAUUGUGUGAUCCAUCAUGUCAUCCAGUGGGUAACCGCCAGAAGGGCCGGUAUACUGCAAGCUCUGAUCGUAAGGCGAGACAUUAGGCGCAUAAGGGGACGGGCCCGGAUGGCUCUGAGGAGUUGGUAAAUCCAUAACUCCUGAAUUGGGAGUUUGGAUAUUAGGGGUCCGAGGAGUGGGCUGGCCUGACGUUGAUCCCGACACUCGGCUGCCGCUUUUGCCGUUGUUCUUGGAUCGAAUAUAGACCCACCCGUGUGCUUUUUCCAUAUGCUGCUUGCAAUUGCUCUGGCGCUUGGACUGGUAGGUACAAGGAGCAAAGUGGCAUUUGAACAAGGGCGGGGAUUUGGAGUGCUUGUCAUUCACAUGACGGUCUCUCUCUUUCUCAGUUGGCCAGCCGAUUUCGAAAUAUUUGCAUGACUUCUCUGCACAUUUCCAUGGCCUCGAAUGAGUUUUCUCAUGUUUAGUAAGAUCGCAGGGUCUCUUGAACACUUUAUCGCAGUCUUUGCAUUUCUGGUUAAUGUCAAGAGGGGGAGCAUUUUUCUUUCGUCGAGCCAUCGAACGAGCAACGCCGUCAUCGCAUGAUUCCAUGCUCAGGGAGCGUUUCAUGAUUGGGACAGCAGGCGAUGCCUUUUCAUCGUACGGGUUUCCAGUACGAAGGGAGAUAGCUUGCUUAUCCUUCUUUCGUCGGACUAAUUCAGCGGGGCGUCCGGUUGCACCCAAGCCGCCUUCAAGGGUGACUUCCUCAUCAGAUGAAUAUUCCAUGUUAUUCUCUGCUAUUCUCGAGCGGGGGCGAGGGCCCUGCCUUUCUCGAGUAGCACCGACCAGAGCAGCGUACUGUCGCAUCUGUUCGACGAGAUCAAGGAAAUAGCCGUUGGUAUACGGACGAUCGGAUGGCCGUCGUUGAUCGCGGUCAUUCAAGUACCCAACCGUAGUAUGAAGGCACUGGAUGGUAAAUUCACAGAAUCCGAGGUAGACUGCUUUGGAUUGGGUGUACCGCGGAGCUAGGAAAAGAAUAGUCUUUUCAAGAUCUCGAAGACAGGCGAUCUCUUUGCUCUCAAUCCGCUGGGGUACGCUACGGAUUAAAGGAUGGAAUGGGGAGAGACGUUUUUCACGAAGAAUAGGAACGAGAAUAAAGCGAUCGAUGUGCUUGCGAGCAGCAACGCCAAAGCUGGGGAUUUGAGCUAAGGCAGUGGUAGAUGAAAUAGAUCUAGUAAUGGCAGAUUGGGUUGAGACAAUUUUACCCUCCUCUUGAAAGGAAUGAGUAGCUUUGCGAACUUGUUCGCGUGUAUCGACAGACGAAGACAUGCUAGCACCGCUGAUGGACGAACCGAUACCACUGUCACAGGAAAGACGACGGCGUCGAUCCUGAUCGCGGACAGGUUUGAAAGUUUUAUCUUUCUGUAUUGAGUCUACCUCAUUCAUAGGGUCAGUGUUAGUCAUUCGGGCCUCCGGCAUUCCACGCGGAACAGGCGAGUCGUUAUCACAGAAAGUGUUGUCCAAACGAGGAGCAGAAAGGUCGCUUCCGAGACCAUAAGGGCUACGCUCGAACUUGUCUAAGAACACGGCCCUUCGUCCUUCACCGGCCGCAAUGACAUCCUCCAGAGCCUUGGGACAGGUAGGAGAGCGUCGAAGCAGCGAGUGGAUGUUGAAGAUUGGAUCAGAGUCCUCAGACGGCGGGGUCGUUGGAGAGUGGAAGGUGGCACCUUUCUUCAACUUCAUGCUAUGGGGUGUUGAGCGACAUGUUGAGUCGGAUGACGACUGAUCUGAAGUAGAGGACGAAGAAGUAAUCGAAAGAUGGGGGAGGUUCUUAUGCUGAAGAGGUCGACGGCGUGAAUGAACCUGGGGUGCGGACAUACUUGCGACGAGGUGGGAGGGGGGGAGUCCCUGGCUGGAAAGCAAAAGUGAAUUAAGGCCACUAUUCAGAAUCAGGAACCGGGAUCUGCGGGACAAAGGGUCCUCAAUUCAGAAUGGACGCCCAGAUGAUUGGCAGUAUAAGGGUAGAAUACAAGAAAACUAGAUUCAAUGUCUCUCAGAUCACACCGACAAUCCCCUGGACAGACCAUCCACUGGAGAAAUAUCCAAAGGAUGAGAUGAAUCCAGAUUGAUUGAGAAGAGCUGUAUGAAGACAGAGCCAAAUAAAAAGCAAAAAGGAUGCUUGAAAACGUCCCUUGAGUCAAAAAGCAAAACGGUAUGAGAAAGGAAGCCAAAAAACAAACAAGCGCUGGAUGACGAAACGAGCCGGAGACGCCUGGCGAGUGACUCGCGGGCUGUUGAGGGUGCAAAUGGAUGACUGAGGAUCGCAGCACAGAGACUGGAAUGAAGACAAGAGCGAG